Molecule: ribosomal RNA, 254 nt
Filed under: uncultured bacterium
Lineage: Bacteria
Description: partial 16S ribosomal RNA
Rfam family: Bacterial small subunit ribosomal RNA
Source: RNAcentral
CACGUAGGGUGCGAGCGCUGUCCGGAAUUAUUGGGCGUAAAGAGCUCGUAGGCGGUGUGUCGCGUCGGCCGUGAAAACCUGCAGCUUAACUGUGGGCGUGCGGUCGAUACGGGCAUCACUGGAGUUCGGCAGGGGAGACUGGAAUUCCUGGUGUAGCGGUGAAAUGCGCAGAUAUCAGGAGGAACACCGGUGGCGAAGGCGGGUCUCUGGGCCGAUACUGACGCUGAGGAGCGAAAGCGUGGGUAGCAAACAGG